UUAAGCUACUAAGAGCGUAGGGGGAAUGCCUUGGCACCAAGAGCCGAAGAAGGACGUGAUAAGCUGCGAAAAGCUACGGGGAGGAGCACAUAUCCAAAGAGCCGUAGAUAUCCGAAUGAGGGAACUCAAUCUAGGUAAAUGCUAGAUUAUCAUCACAUGAGUAAAGUAGUGUGAAUGAGGGGAACGUGGGGAACUGAAACAUCUUAGUACCCAUAGGAAGAGAAAAUAAAAAUGAUUCCGUAAGUAGUGGCGAGCGAAAGCGGAAAAGCCCAAACCUGAGUGAGCAAUCACUAGCAGGGGUUAGGACAUGCAACAAAUUCCAAGAAAGAGUGUAGUAGAAGUGUUUUGGGAAAGCACACCAAAGAGAGUGAAAGUCUCGUAUAUGAAACACGAAAGAAGGAAGAGUAUGAUCCAGAGUAAGACAGGACACGAGAAAUCCUGUGUGAAUGAGCGGGGACCAUCCCGUAAGGCUAAAUACUACUUGGUGACCGAUAGUGAAAUAGUACCGUGAGGGAAAGGUGAAAAGAACCCCGGGAGGGGAAUGAAAUAGAAUCUGAAACCCUAUGCUUACAAGCAGAUAGAGCACGUUAAAGUGUGAUAUCGUACUUUUUGCAGAACGGUCCGGCGAGUUACUGUAUAUGGCAAGGAGAAGAGUCUAAGACUAAUAUCCGAAGCGAAAGCGAGUCUGAAUAGGGCGAAAUAAGUCAUGUGCAGUAGACCCGAAACCGAGUGACCUAUCCAUGUCCAGGAUGAAGCUAGAGUGAAAUCUAGUGGAGGUCCGCACCAGUAGACGUUGAAAAGUCUUUGGAUGAGGUGUGGAUAGCGGAGAAAUUCUAAUCGAACUCGGAUAUAGCUGGUUCUCCUCGAAAUAGCUUUAGGGCUAGCCUUGAACAAAAACCGUAUGGGGGUAGAGCACUGAAUGAGCUAGGGGCCAAACAAAGGUUACCAAACUUUAUCAAACUACGAAUACCAUGCGGGAGGUUCAGGAGUCAGACUACGGGAGCUAAGUUCCGUGGUCAAAAGGGAAAGAGCCCAGACCGUCAAUUAAGGUCCCAAAGAUAUAACUAAGUGGAAAACGAUGUGAUUUUGCGCAGACAACCAGGAUGUUGGCUUAGAAGCAGCCAUUCAUUUAAAGAGUGCGUAAUAGCUCACUGGUCGAGUGAAGUUGCGCGGAAAAUUACCGGGGCUAAGUUAUACACCGAAAUUGCGGAUUCAUUAAGAAAUUAAUGAGUGGUAGAGGAGCGUUCUAUACAGGAUGAAGUAUGAUCGAGAGGACAUAUGGACAGUAUAGAAGAGAGAAUGCCGGAAUGAGUAGCGAGAGCAAAGUGAGAAUCUUUGCCGUCGAAAAUCUAAGGUUUCCUGGGGAAGGUUCGUCCGCCCAGGGUAAGUCGGGACCUAAGGUGAGGCCGAAGGGCGUAGCCGAUGGACAGCAGGUUAAGAUUCCUGCACCAGUAUACAUGUAUAAUGCAUAAGAGGACACAUUUGAAGAAGGUGAGCGAGGAAGAGGAAAAACUCGUAUGGCAACAUAUAGUGAAAUUAAGUAACGAAUCAUCAAGAGGCAAGUGGCGAGAAAAGUCUUAUGUAGUUGUGUAGACUGCCCGUACCGCAAACCGACACAGGUAGAUGAGGAGAGGAUCCUAAGACGAGCGGGAGAAGCAUUGUUAAGGAACUCGGCAAAUUGACCCCGUAACUUAGGGAUAAGGGGUGCUGGUGUAAAAACCAGUCGCAGUAAAUAGGCCCAAGCAACUGUUUAACAAAAACACAGGUUUCUGCUAAAUCGCAAGAUGAAGUAUAGGAGCUGACUCCUGCCCAGUGCUGGAAGGUUAAGGGGAAAGGUUAAGAAUAAUUCAUUAUAUCUGAAGCUUUGAACUCAAGCCCCAGUGAACGGCGGCCGUAACUAUAACGGUCCUAAGGUAGCGAAAUUCCUUGUCGGGUAAG
RNAcentral lists this ribosomal RNA (1938 nucleotides) under human metagenome. RNAcentral describes it as "bacterial LSU rRNA". It matches the Rfam family "Bacterial large subunit ribosomal RNA", at positions 3 to 1980 of the family's 2925-position model. The record is from RNAcentral.